Molecule: ribozyme, 85 nt
Filed under: Aedes aegypti (yellow fever mosquito)
Lineage: Eukaryota; Metazoa; Arthropoda; Insecta; Diptera; Culicidae
Description: drz-agam-1 ribozyme
Rfam family: drz-agam-1 ribozyme
Source: Rfam by way of RNAcentral
UGCCCAGCAACUCCUAUCCCUACCUCUUCGUGGUACUGGCCGGGCGCGGAAACAACCUGUAGGUUAUUCGGAACUAAGAGAUAGA